RNAcentral lists this ribosomal RNA (433 nucleotides) under uncultured bacterium. Its description in RNAcentral is "partial 16S ribosomal RNA". It matches the Rfam family "Bacterial small subunit ribosomal RNA", at positions 29 to 507 of the family's 1533-position model. The record is from RNAcentral.
AACGAACGCUGGCGGCAUGCCUAACACAUGCAAGUCGAACGAGACCUUCGGGUCUAGUGGCGCACGGGUGCGUAACGCGUGGGAACCUGCCCUUAGGUUCGGAAUAACUCCCCGAAAGGGGUGCUAAUACCGGAUAAUGUCUUCGGACCAAAGAUUUAUCGCCUUUGGAUGGGCCCGCGUUGGAUUAGCUAGUUGGUAGGGUAAAAGCCUACCAAGGCGACGAUCCAUAGCUGGUCUGAGAGGAUGAUCAGCCACACUGAGACUGAGACACGGCCCAGACUCCUACGGGAGGCAGCAGUGGGGAAUAUUGGACAAUGGGCGAAAGCCUGAUCCAGCAAUGCCGCGUGAGUGAUGAAGGCCUUAGGGUUGUAAAGCUCUUUUACCCGGGACGAUAAUGACAGUACCGGGAGAAUAAGCUCCGGCUAACUCCGUG